GGAUCAGCUUGAAUUUUAAUAAAAAUCCAACACAUUUCAUAAAGCUCCUGUCAUAGGUUCUGGAAGCUCAUUUCCUAUAGUAGCAACUUCCCUUUACUCUAGCAUGCUCUUUGCUGGCCUUGGUUGCAGGCCAAGGGUGAAAGGAAUCUAGAAUGGAUGAAAGAGGAGAUAGAUUAUAAAUACCAACUAUAGCUUUGGGACCACUGCAGCAGUGUGGAGUAUAACCCGUUCUAUUAACUUUCCUGAAUUGAGUCUUUUGUAGAUUGUUGCCAGCCACCAUCUUGAAGGCUUUGGAUUGGACUUCAUGUAGGACACAGUGGAUCUUGUGGUACGGGUGAACUGCAGUGGACAUCUCUUAUGCUCCACUUCACAUCCUCUCAGCCCAUCUUUUACUAGUGGCAUUACAAUGGCCUAUACAACCUCCUCUUCAGGAAGACAGCUGUGAGAGAUACUUUAUGGCUCUUUAGAAUAUCCCAGCAGCAUCAAGCCUUGGGCAUUCACAAUGACGAUCAACUUGAUAACAUGGCCUUUUCUCCCUUCUUUCUCUUCUGUUUUCUAGAUUGUCUCUUAAGUAAGCUGUCUUAAGGGGCCAUCCGGGAUUAGUCUUGCCUGUUACAUGCUUCAUUGGAAGUUCUUAAGGCUACAGUUGGGCUUGAAGAUUUGCAAGAAAGACUCACAGAACUCAAAAGAGCUGGUAUGUUCAUGAUUACUGCUUAUUACAGAGAAAUGAGUACAUACUAAAACCGGCAAAUGGGAAAGGUAUAUGAGACAAUGUCCAGGAGAUACCAGGCACAAGCUUCUGGGUGGAGUUGUAUGGGAAUGCAUUUAAUCCUCCAAGCAAUGGUAUGUGACAACAUGUGUGAAUUAUUGCCAGUCAGGAAAGCUCACAUAAGUCUUGGUAUCCAGGGUUAUUAUUGCAAAUUGGUCAGGUAGGCAUGGCUGACUUUAAUUGCUCAGCCUACAGCCCCACCCCUCUACUUAUGUCAAAUUGAUACAGCAUGGUCCAGGACCCUCUGGCAUAUGAAAACACGCUUCAUCAGGCAGGAUAUUCCAAGGGCUCAGA
This 1063-nucleotide long non-coding RNA is filed under the name Homo sapiens (human). Its description in RNAcentral is "HSALNT0072504". The record is from RNAcentral. Lineage: Eukaryota; Metazoa; Chordata; Mammalia; Primates; Hominidae.